CCAAUAGCGUAUAUUAAAGUUGUUGCAGUUAAAAAGCUCGUAGUUGAAUUUCGGGAUUAAUUUAUUGGUCGUGCUAUUGUACGUACUGGUUUUAUUGAUUCCUCUCUUCUGACGAACUAUGAUGCCAUUAAUUUGGUGUCAUAGGGAAUCAGGACUGUUACUUUGAAAAAAUUAGAGUGUUUAAAGCAGGCUCACGCUUGAAUACAUUAGCAUGGAAUAACGGAAUAGGACGUUUGAUUCUAUUUUGUUGGUUUCUAGGAUCGACGUAAUGAUUAAUAGUGAUAGUUGGGGGCAUUAGUAUUCAAUUGUCAGAGGUGAAAUUCUUGGAUUUAUUGAAGACUAACUACUGCGAAAGCAUUUGCCAAGGAUGUUUUCAUUAAUCAAGAACGAAAGUUAGGGGAUCGAAGACGAUCAGAUACCGUCGUAGUCUUAACCAUAAACUAUGCCGACUAGGGAUCGGAUGAUGUUAAUUUUUUAAUGACUCAUUCGGCGCCUUACG
This 499-nucleotide ribosomal RNA is filed under the name uncultured Glomeromycotina. RNAcentral describes it as "partial small subunit ribosomal RNA". It matches the Rfam family "Eukaryotic small subunit ribosomal RNA", at positions 591 to 1092 of the family's 1831-position model. Lineage: Eukaryota; Fungi; Glomeromycota. The record is from RNAcentral.